Molecule: unclassified non-coding RNA, 315 nt
Filed under: Zea mays
Lineage: Eukaryota; Viridiplantae; Streptophyta; Magnoliopsida; Poales; Poaceae
Description: misc RNA Zm00001eb034630
Source: RNAcentral
CUGUCAACAACCACCGCCACGACCCUUCCACCCGUGCCUAUGCCCGCGCCCGCGCCCGCGACGCACCACGUGGACCUCGCGGAGGUUCCACACGUUCCUGGACUGCAUGCAGAAGACGGACGUCAUCGAGCGAACAGCACGAAGCAAGGUAUCACCGUCUUCGUGCCCAAGGACUCGGCUUUCGCGGCGUUUGGCGAGGAGACGACGCUGGGCAACCUCAGCUCCGGUCGCUGCUCCCGUACCACGCGCUGGGCGGAGUUCGACCAGCUGAGCAGCCACGGCCCGGUGGACACCCUCGCCGGCUCGCAGUGUUAG